RNAcentral lists this ribosomal RNA (520 nucleotides) under uncultured Entrophospora. RNAcentral's name for it is "SSU rRNA". It matches the Rfam family "Eukaryotic small subunit ribosomal RNA", at positions 569 to 1080 of the family's 1831-position model. The record is from RNAcentral. Lineage: Eukaryota; Fungi; Glomeromycota; Glomeromycetes; Entrophosporales; Entrophosporaceae.
AGCAGCCGCGGUAAUUCCAGCUCCAAUAGCGUAUAUUAAAGUUGUUGCAGUUAAAAAGCUCGUAGUUGAAUUUCGGGAUUGGCGCAUCGGUCGUGCCUUACGGGGUAUGAACUGGUGCAGUCAAUUUCUCACCUUCUGGAGAACCGCGAUGUCCUUAAUUGGGUGCCGCGGGGAACCAGGGACCUUUACUUUGAAAAAAUUAGAGUGUUUAAAGCAGGCAUUUUUGCUUGAAUACAUUAGCAUGGAAUAAUAAAAUAGGACGGCAUGGUUCUAUUUUGUGGUUUCUAGGACCACCGUAAUGAUUAAUAGGGAUAGUUGGGGGCAUUAGUAUUCAAUUGUCAGAGGUGAAAUUCUUGGAUUUAUUGAAGACUAACUACUGCGAAAGCAUUUGCCAAGGAUGUUUUCAUUAAUCAAGAACGAAAGUUAGGGGAUCGAAGACGAUCAGAUACCGUCGUAGUCUUAACCAUAAACUAUAGCCGACUAGGAAUCCAGACGAUGUUAAUUUUUAAUGUACUUCGUU